CUAAACUAAGGAACAGAGUUUACUUUUAAGGGGGGAUUUGUGAGUUUAUGCAACUUUACACAAGUGUGUACAUAAUAUAUAUGUAUUAUAUUAUAUAUAUAUUAUAUAUAAAAGAGUGUCAGUGUUUUGGCCAGAUGGAAAGAAUAAUGCCUUGGAAGAUUAGCUCCUGAUAAGAAAGUCAGUAGAGACUCAUUUGCUUUCUUUGAGAUCACAAUGUGUUACUCUGCAUUAAGUCAGUCUUUCAAAACUAGCCCGCAGAUACAAGUCUAGGUAGUUUAUUAAUAGAUCUGUUUGAAAAAAUGCUGAUUCAGUAUCAUCAAAACAUUCUGUGGGAACAAGUUCAUUUUUCUUAGUUACUCUUGACAGAAACUAGGCAGGUUUCCAUGGAAACUUGCCUACUUCACCACCAAUUUGCCUGUCUGGAGCCAGAUUUCCAGCCAUGGGAUGAGUCUAAGCUGCUUGGCUCCUAGGGCUGUCAGGGUUCAGAGAACUUGAGGAAAGUCAUCUUGAGUUUGUUUUGAAGAGCGAAAGCAAAAAUAUUGCUUCAAUUUCUGUAAACAACAUUUAAGGAUUCUUGUCAGAAGAGAUGUUGAAGUCUUUUUCCAGUGUGCAAACAUUUUUCCCCCUCUCAGAUUUUCACUCAGAAGAGGAAGUUUGUGCUAUGACCACUAGUUUCUUGAAAAGCUGCCAUGUAUCAUACUUCAGCUGUCCACAGGGGACUGAGUGGUGACCACUUGACUCAGCUGUUAAACUGCAGUGCUCAGUCAUCAGGAGAUUACUUGGCCACUAUUGAUUCACUACUGAGAAGAACGUUGUGCUACAUCUUGGGAAGCCAUUCUCAGUAGCCAAAGAUUUCUACCACACUGGCACUGAAAACUUAUCUUGUGAGUUUUUCAUGUUGUAAAAAUCUGAAAUGCAUAGAUACCAGAUUCACAAUUCAGUGACCCUAAAGCAGCAAGACACCUAAGAGGAAAUGGGGCUAUGAUAGCACAUCACUGGUAGUUAUACAAGAAACAUUUACUGAUGGCAAGAGAAAAGCUAGUCUUAUGUUCCUGUCACUCUUGUGAGCAUUGUUUUUAACCUUCCUCUCUCCAUUUUAGUAAAAGUAGAGAGGAAAUUGUUCA
This 1124-nucleotide long non-coding RNA is filed under the name Anser cygnoides (Swan goose). RNAcentral describes it as "lncRNA (ENSACDG00005009942.1)". Lineage: Eukaryota; Metazoa; Chordata; Aves; Anseriformes; Anatidae. The record is from RNAcentral.